AUAUUUCACAAAGGGGGAAACCCUGAUGCAGCGACGCCGCGUUAGUGAAGAAGUAUUUCGGUAUGUAAAGCUCUAUCAGCAGGGAAGAUAAUGACGGUACCUGACUAAGAAGCCCCCGCUAACUACGUGCCACCAGUCGCGGUAAUGCGUAGGGGGCAAGCGUUAUCCGGAUUUACGGGGUGUAAAGGGAGCGUAGGUGGCAGGGCAAGUCAGAUGUGAAAACCCGGGGCUCAACCCCGGGAGUGCAUUUGAAACUGUCCAGCUGGAGUGCAGGAGAGGUAAGCGGAAUUCCUAGUGUAGCGGUGAAAUGCAUAGAUAUUAGGAGGAACACCAGUGGCGAAGGCGGCUUACUGGACUGUAACUGACACUGAGGCUCGAAAGCGUGGGGAGCAAACAGG
RNAcentral lists this ribosomal RNA (398 nucleotides) under uncultured bacterium. RNAcentral's name for it is "bacterial SSU rRNA". It matches the Rfam family "Bacterial small subunit ribosomal RNA", at positions 361 to 776 of the family's 1533-position model. The record is from RNAcentral.